Long non-coding RNA from Populus nigra (black poplar), 3012 nucleotides. RefSeq lists it as uncharacterized. Lineage: Eukaryota; Viridiplantae; Streptophyta; Magnoliopsida; Malpighiales; Salicaceae. The transcript is spliced from 2 exons. The record is from RefSeq and is a predicted model, not a curated record.
CAAGAACCUACGCACUCCAUGUGUUUGACGAAACGCCUCAACAAACUCUUUUCAUGGAACACCAUGCUUUCUGCUAAUUCAAAAUCUGGGAAUUUAUCAAAAGCUAUGCAAGAGAUCUUUAGUAUCAUGCCAACCGAGAUUCCGUCUCUUGGAACUCGUUUAUUUCGGGGUAUCUGCGCAAUGGUUCAGUUAUGGAGGUAGUUAAAGCUUAUAGCUUGAUGUUGAAAGAUGGUGUUUAUAAUUUGAAUAGGAUUACAUUAUCGACAAUGCUUAUGUUGGUAUUGAGUCAAGGGUGUGUUGGUUUGGGUAGGCAGAUUCAUGGGCACGUAGUGAAAUUUGAAUUUGGGGUCUAUGUUUUUGCAGGGAGUCCUUUGGUGCAUAUGUAUGCCAAAAUGGGAUUAGUUUCCGAGGCAAAGCAGGUUUUUGACGAGUUUCAAGAGAGGAGCAUGUUAAUGUAUAAUACGAUGAUUACAGGGCUUUUGAGUUGUGGGGUGGUAGAGGAUUCAAAGAGGCUGCUUCAUGAUAUGAAGGAAAGAGUUUCCAUUUCGUGGACAAUGAUGAUCACAAGGCUUUCAAAAUGGAAUGGAGGCGAAGUUAUAGAUUUGUUCAGAGAUAUGGGGCUAGAAGGCAUUGCGAUGAAACAGUAUACAUUUGGCAAUGUGUUGACUGCAUGUGGGGGGCUUAUGGUUUGAAAGAGGGAACGCAAGUUCAUGCUUUUACACUUAGGAAUGAAUAUAACCACAAUGUCUUUGUUGGUACUGCUCUUGUUGACAUAUAUUGCGCAAGCAGGCAAGAGAAUGACAUAUAAGAAUGUUGUCUCAGGAAUUGCUAUGUUAGUGGGUUUUGGCCAGAAAGGGUUCAGCAAAGAAGCUGUUAGGGUUUUUGUGACAUGCAAAAGAAUGGGAUUGAACUAGAUCAUUUUACUCUAGGAAGUGUAAUUAACUCACGUGCAAAUCUAGCUAGCUUAGAAGAAGGUGCCCAGUUUUAUUGUCAAGUCCUAGUUUCUGGUUUGAUUUAUUUCAUAACCGUCUACAAUGCACUCAUUACUUUGUAUGGUAAACGUGGAAGUACAGAAGAUUCCAAUCAGCUGUUCAAUGAAAUGAAUUUCAGGGAUGAAGUCUCUUGGACUGCAUUGAUUUCAGGAUAUGCACAAUCUGGAAAAGCCCACGAAAACAGUGGAUUUAUUUGAAAGAAUGCUGGCGCAAGGUUUAAAACCUGAUGCUGUUACAUUAAUUGCAGUCCUUUCAGCUUGUUCUAGACCGGUGUUAGUACUUAGUGGAGAGAGGAAAACAGUGAAUCAAUGCUAAAAGACCAUGGAAUAAUUCCUUUUUAUGAUCACUACAGCUGCAUGAUUGACCUUUUUAGUCGAGCAGAAGGCUUGAAUAAGCCAAAAGUUUUAUCAGUAAGAUGCCUUUUACUCCCAAUGCAAGGCAAUGAGGAAAUUAGAAAAUUGGCAGCUGAGUCUCUUCUAGAACUAGAGCCCCAGAACCCUGCAGGCUACAUCUUGCUCUCCAGUAUCUAUGCCGCUAAAGGAAAAUGGAGUGAUGUAGCCAGACUAAGGAGAGGAACGAGAGAAAAGGGAGUGAGAAAGGGACCGGGAUUCAGAUGGAUCAAGUAUAAAAGCAAAGUUCAUAUUUUCUCAGCAGAUGACCAGUAAAGUCCUUUUUCUGAUAAAUGCUGAGCUGGAGAAAUUAAAUCAAAAAAUGAUGGAGGAAGGGUAUGUACCAGAUGCAAGUUCAGUUCUUCAUGAUGUUAAGGAUUUAAAGAAGAUAAAGAUGCUUAACCACCAUAGUGAGAAGCUUGCAAUUGCUUUUGGGUUGCUAUUUGUUCCUCGUGGCCUUCCCAUACGAGUAGUAAAAAAUCUGAGGGUCUGUGGGGAUUGCCGCAAUGCAACUAAAUAUAUUUCCAAGAUUACUCAGAGAGAGAUACUUGUAAGAGAUGCUGUCGGGUUCCAUUUAUUUAAAGAUGGAACAUGUUCAUGUGGAGAUUUCUGGUGAUAUACAUCUGUUACAGUUCAAAGCUGCGUGAACAAGAUUACAAAUCAAUAUGUACCAUAGAUAAACCAAGAUCAAGAGUUUUUGAGAAGCUACCAGAGAUAAACCAAAGAUCAUGAGUUUUUGAGAAUUGAGACGGUGAUCGUGCCUGCUUCGCAGGAGUAUCACUAGAGCUCUAGAGGAAUCCUUUUUUCUCCAUCAAGGAUUCUAGAAGAAUGUCUAUAUAAUCUUGAAAGAACCAAGAUCCCUGAUAGUAAAAAAUGUUGGUUGAAGAGAAGCCGGUUAGAGUAAAAAAAGAAAGAAGGCCUGCUGGAUGGGAACCUCAGUAUGGGAUUAGAGAAGAUAAAAAGAAUAACCUGCAACUUGCUACAUAUGUCAAUUACUUCAGCUAGAGGAGCCCAAUCACCAAAGUUCCUCUCAAUGAACUGAUAAGCUAUGCCACUCUUUUCCCUGCCAACUAUAAAGAGUCCACCCUUUAUUUCACCUUCUCCUUUGAAGUUUUGCUCACUUCCUGUAGCUUUUGCACGCUUGUAAUUUGCAAUAGCUCGGGGAUUGAAAAUAAAUCCUGAAAUAAAACUGUCCUUAAGUAGCUGCCCACCACCAAGAGCUUUGAAGAACUUCAUACUCCUAUCAAAGAGCACAACACCACCCCAAUAUCGAGGCCAGAAGUUUUUGACCUGCAGACCAACAGUAGCACAUCAACUGUUAGAGAGAGAGAGAGAGAGAUUAGAUCGUUAAGCUGAAAGUCCUUUAGAUACCUCUGGCUCAAUAUGUUCAUGGAGAACUGCAAAUAGUCGAAUUCCCAGUGCAUCAAAUAUGGGUUUUUUGGCAUAAAGCUGGUGAGCCUCAGCCCUGCACAUGAUGCACCUGUUUUGAAAUUCACAAGUAAAAGAUAUGUCAAUUUCAUGGCUUAAAGGGCAGCUGACCAUACUUAAAAAGUUUAUUUAUCCAUGUUAUUGGGGAGCAUUCGAGUCUACAUAUUUUGCUAUAGCUCAUUAACGGGCUUUUGAUUUCUUAA